GACGGAGGGGGCAAGCGUUGUUCGGAAUUACUGGGCGUAAAGCGCGCGCAGGCGGAUGAGGCAAGUCGGAAGUGAAAUCCCGGGGCUCAACUCCGGGGCUGCUCCCGAUACUGCCCGUCUAGGGACCGGUAGGGGCUGGUGGAAUUCCCGGUGUAGCGGUGGAAUGCGUAGAUAUCGGGAAGAACACCCGUGGCGAAGGCGGCCAGCUGGGCCGGGUCCGACGCUGAGGCGCGAAAGCGUGGGGAGCAAACAGG
RNAcentral lists this unclassified non-coding RNA (254 nucleotides) under uncultured Gemmatimonadota bacterium. RNAcentral's name for it is "uncultured Gemmatimonadetes bacterium contains 16S-23S intergenic spacer region". It matches the Rfam family "Bacterial small subunit ribosomal RNA", at positions 524 to 776 of the family's 1533-position model. Lineage: Bacteria; Pseudomonadati; Gemmatimonadota. The record is from RNAcentral.